Molecule: transfer RNA, 76 nt
Filed under: Vibrio phage 6E35.1a
Lineage: Duplodnaviria; Heunggongvirae; Uroviricota; Caudoviricetes; Pantevenvirales; Straboviridae
Also listed under: 17 other names
Description: tRNA-Arg
Rfam family: tRNA
About the family: Transfer RNA (tRNA) molecules are approximately 80 nucleotides in length. Their secondary structure includes four short double-helical elements and three loops (D, anti-codon, and T loops). Further hydrogen bonds mediate the characteristic L-shaped molecular structure. tRNAs have two regions of fundamental functional importance: the anti-codon, which is responsible for specific mRNA codon recognition, and the 3' end, to which the tRNAs corresponding amino acid is attached (by aminoacyl-tRNA synthetases). tRNAs cope with the degeneracy of the genetic code in two manners: having more than one tRNA (with a specific anti-codon) for a particular amino acid; and 'wobble' base-pairing, i.e. permitting non-standard base-pairing at the 3rd anti-codon position.
Source: RNAcentral
GUCCUCAUAGCUCAAUUGGAAGAGCACGAAUCUUCUAAAUUCGGGGUUGAAAGUUCAAAUCUUUCUGGGGAUGCCA